GAAAAAGUAUGAGAAUUCAAAUUAGAUAUUGAGGAUUCGAAUGGACACAAAAGAUUUGCAAAAAACAUAAAUGAAAAAAAUGAAUCGAUUCAAAAAUAUCUAUCUAUACCGUAAGCUAGGGUUGACUAUAGCAUAGGCUAGUAGUGUCCGAUUUGAUUUUAAAAAGUAAGAAAAUUCAAAUUAGAGAUUAGGACUUUGAAGUGACACAAAAC
RNAcentral lists this long non-coding RNA (212 nucleotides) under Prunus persica (peach). Its description in RNAcentral is "long non-coding RNA (PPER_LNC008585)". The record is from RNAcentral. Lineage: Eukaryota; Viridiplantae; Streptophyta; Magnoliopsida; Rosales; Rosaceae.